CAGGAUUAGAUACCCUGGUAGUCCACGCCCUACACGAUGCUGACUAGUUGUUCGGGAUUUACAUCCUGAGUAACGUAGCUAACGCGUGAAGUCAGCCGCCUGGGGAGUACGGUCGCAAGAUUAAAACUCAAAGGAAUUGACGGGGACCCGCACAAGCGGUGGAUGAUGUGGAUUAAUUCGAUGCAACGCGAAAAACCUUACCUACCCUUGACAUGUCACUAACGAAGUAGAGAUACAUUAGGUGCUCGUAAGAGAAAGUGAACACAGGUGCUGCAUGGCUGUCGUCAGCUCGUGUCGUGAGAUGUUGGGUUAAGUCCCGCAACGAGCGCAACCCUUGUCUUUAGUUGCUACGCAAGAGCACUCUAAAGAGACUGCCGGUGACAAACCGGAGGAAGGUGGGGAUGACGUCAAGUCCUCAUGGCCCUUAUGGGUAGGGCUUCACACGUCAUACAAUGGUGCAUACAGAGGGUUGCCAACCCGCGAGGGGGAGCUAAUCUCAGAAAAUGCAUCGUAGUCCGGAUCGUAGUCUGCAACUCGACUACGUGAAGCUGGAAUCGCUAGUAAUCGCGGAUCAGAAUGUCGCGGUGAAUACGUUCCCGGGUCUUGUACACACCGCCCGUCAUACCAUGGGAGUGGGUUUUGCCAGAAGCCGUUAGCCUAACC
RNAcentral lists this ribosomal RNA (663 nucleotides) under uncultured beta proteobacterium. Its description in RNAcentral is "bacterial SSU rRNA". It matches the Rfam family "Bacterial small subunit ribosomal RNA", at positions 773 to 1440 of the family's 1533-position model. The record is from RNAcentral. Lineage: Bacteria; Pseudomonadati; Pseudomonadota; Betaproteobacteria.